Molecule: long non-coding RNA, 1084 nt
Filed under: Homo sapiens (human)
Lineage: Eukaryota; Metazoa; Chordata; Mammalia; Primates; Hominidae
Description: HSALNT0135421
Source: RNAcentral
GUAACCCAGUGAAAUUGAUACUCGACUCUUCCCUGCCCAGGGUCCACCCGCGUAAAUCAUAACCAGAGGAAACAAAAGCCCUGCCUGAGCAGUGUGUCUUGCCGGCAGGCAGGCAAGGAACGAGGCUGAGUGACUCACUCUCUCCAAGUCUGGUUGGAGGAGAGGCACAUGGUUUCCAGGAAUUUCUUUGCAUUGUUUUAUAUGUAUUAAGGGAAAAUUAAAAUAAAAGGAUCUGAAGUGUUGAGAAAGGAGAAGAAGGCUGAAUUUAAAAUGGGCAGACAUAUAAGGCCAGGCUGGCAAAGGGGCCUUGAAUUGACUGGCUCAUUAAAUCUCCUCGAGGCUUGUAGACACAUCGAGUUCACAGGGCUCUUGCCUGCUGUUAAUGCUUGCAGAGAGAUGGGCAAUGUCCAAAUUGCAAAGCUCCACGAAGCAAGUGAGUCGCCUAUGAAGUCAGAGGGAUUUUUGUUUAACCCGCCCUAAGAGCAUUUCCUCAAGUCUGAACUAAAACACAAUGUUCUCAGCUUAAUGAAGAAUGAUACAGAUGAAGGGAAGCUGGGGAAAAGAACUCACCCCUUUUGCAUACCUACCCUGCUCCAGGUGCUCUGCAUCUGCCACCGUGCAGAUUGUUACAGCAACUCACCAGACCACAACUUGCAGCUCACAACACAACAGGAAGCUUAAAGAUGCUUUGCUUGCUAAAGUGGAAGGCUGAAAGGAGCAGAACCAGAAGAGUGCUGGAGAGAUGGAUGUGGGUGGCGUUUGUUUUAUGUACUUACAAAAGAAGAGCUGCAAGUAGCAUAUGAAUCUCCGGUUCAAUUAGACAAACUUGUAGAGAAGAAAAAGAACUUCCUCAAGAAACUGACCACCACCCUGGAGUGGUUAAGAAUUGACCACUCAACAACGCUGGAUUAUAGCAAAUAAAUUUUCACGUUAGAUUGUUAAAAAAAAAUAGUGAACCCUUACACAGCAUUUGUUAUGUGUCAUGAGUUUUUCUGAGUUUUUCAUAUAAUAGCACAGUUAAUCUGUAUCAAAUCUUUGAGUUAGGUACUGUAUAUGAUCUCUAUUUUAUAAAUGCAGUAACGGU